Molecule: ribosomal RNA, 492 nt
Filed under: uncultured bacterium
Lineage: Bacteria
Description: partial 16S ribosomal RNA
Rfam family: Bacterial small subunit ribosomal RNA
Source: RNAcentral
AGUGAACGCUGGCGGUAGGCCUAACACAUGCAAGUCGAACGGCAGCACAGUAAGAGCUUGCUCUUACGGGUGGCGAGUGGCGGACGGGUGAGGAAUACAUCGGAAUCUACUUUUUCGUGGGGGAUAACGUAGGGAAACUUACGCUAAUACCGCAUACGACCUACGGGUGAAAGCAGGGGAUCUUCGGACCUUGCGCGAUUGAAUGAGCCGAUGUCGGAUUAGCUAGUUGGCGGGGUAAAGGCGCACCAAGGCGACGAUGCGUAGCUGGUCUGAGAGGAUGAUCAGCCACCCUGGAACUGAGACACGGUCCCGACUCCUACGGGGGGCAGCAGUGCGGAAUCUUGGGCGAAGGGGGCGAGCCUGAUCCUGGCCUACCGCGUGGGUGAAGAAGCACUUCGGGUUCUAAAGCCAUUUUGUUGUGAAGGAAGAGCAGCAGGUUAAUACCCCGCUGUUCUGACGGUACCCGAAGAAUAAGCACCGGCUAACUUCGUG